CAUGGAUGAGGAGCGCGCCCUCUACAUCGUCCAGGCAGGCAAAGCGGGGGCUAUCGAGCGGGUCCUGAGGGAUUACAGCGACAAGCAUAGGGCUACUUUCAAAUUUGAAACAACAGAUGAAGAUAAAAGAAAGAAACUCUGUGAAGGCAUAUUUAAGGUCCUUGUAAAGGACAUCCCAACAACAUGUCAAGUGUCCUGCCUGGAAGUACUCCGCAUUCUCUCCAGAGACAAAAAGGUUUUAGUUCCUGUAACAACUAAGGAAAAUAUGCAGAUACUGCUGCGACUAGCCAAGCUAAAUGAGUUGGAUGAUUCUUUGGAGAAGGCGUCAGAGUUCCCAGUUAUUGUGGAGUCGUUGAAAUGUCUGUGUAACAUAGUGUUCAACAGUCAGAUGGCACAGCAGCUCAGCCUGGAACUUAAUCUUGCUGCGAAGCUCUGUAACCUCCUGAGAAAGUGCAAGGACCGAAAAUUUAUCAAUGACAUUAAGUGCUUUGACUUGCGCUUACUCUUCCUCCUGUCACUUUUGCACACUGACAUCAGGUCACAAUUGCGCUAUGAGCUCCAGGGACUACCGCUGCUAACCCAGAUUCUGGAAAGUGCCUUUAGCAUCAAGUGGACCGAUGAGUAUGAAUCGGCCAUAGACCAUAAUGGACCUCCUCUCUCACCUCAGGAGACAGACUGUGCCAUUGAGGCCCUCAAAGCUCUCUUCAAUGUGACAGUAGACAGUUGGAAGGUGCAUAAAGAGAGUGAUUCUCAUCAGUUUCGUGUUAUGGCAGCUGUCCUUCGCCAUUGUUUACUAAUUGUAGGCCCAACUGAAGAUAAAACAGAAGAACUGCACAGCAAUGCAGUCAACCUUUUAAGCAAUGUUCCGGUCUCUUGUUUGGAUGUUCUCAUUUGUCCAUUAACCCAUGAAGAAACAGCCCAAGAGGCAACGACUCUAGAUGAACUGCCCAGUGAAAAAACAGCUGAGAAGGAAACAGUUUUGAAAAACAAUACCAUGGUGUACAAUGGUAUGAAUAUGGAAGCUAUUCAUGUUUUACUCAAUUUUAUGGAGAAGAGAAUAGACAAGGGAAGCAGCUAUAGAGAGGGUCUAACUCCAGUUCUCAGCUUAUUAACAGAAUGUUCCCGAGCCCAUCGAAACAUCAGAAAAUUUCUCAAAGAUCAGGUUUUACCACCAUUGAGGGAUGUGACUAAUCGACCUGAAGUUGGCUCAACUGUGAGAAAUAAGCUGGUGCGCCUCAUGACACAUGUUGACCUUGGAGUCAAGCAAAUUGCUGCUGAAUUCCUUUUUGUCCUUUGCAAAGAGAGAGUGGAUAGCCUGCUGAAAUACACUGGCUAUGGGAAUGCUGCGGGACUUUUGGCGGCCAGGGGCCUUUUGGCUGGAGGAAGAGGAGAUAAUUGGUACUCAGAGGACGAGGACACAGACACUGAAGAAUACAAAAAUGCAAAACCAAACAUUAAUCUUAUCACUGGUCAUUUAGAGGAACCAAUGCCAAACCCCAUAGAUGAAAUGACAGAAGAACAAAAAGAAUAUGAAGCCAUGAAACUUGUCAACAUGCUUGAUAAACUUUCCAGACCCUGUCAUUAAUUCCAUGUGUCAAUACUGCCCUGUAGUACACAGAGCAGACAAGAAAGAAGAGCCCUUGAAAACAAGGGAAUGAUUUUUGAGUCGUUAUCAAGCUAAGUGGCAAGCGGGAAGCUGAAACUCGUAUAGUUGAACAUUCUUGGAGGCUUAUCUCUUCCCUGGCCAGAUGCCGGAUCAGAUGAGAAGCCCGCCAUGAUACUGUCACAGUGCCUAGAAUGGGCUCUUUAUCCAGUAGACAUCACUGUACUUUUUGAUGAUAACGAGGGCAGUCUUAACUUGUGUUAAGGCCUGUGUAUAGCAUUGAAGAGAGGAGUUGCUUAAACCAAUGGGACUAAAACCUGAUGGGACAAUAACGCCUUUGGAGGAAGCACUCAACCAAUACCCUGUCAUCGAAGAAACCAGCUCUGACACAGACUAAAAGCAUCACCUGCUCAACUCUCAAUAUUGCUUUUAUCAGCAUCUUUUCUCUGUAGCUCCAGGGGAAUCUUUUCUCUAAAACAUUUAUGCCCUGCUUUGGCUAGAAACACAUUAACUGGUUUACUCAUUGAGAAUCCAGCAUAUUUAAGAGGUGAUCCUGUGUUUUUUGCAAUAUUGAGGCAUUCAUACAGAGCUGCAGUUAGAUGGAGUUACAGGGGCUAGAAGUAGGAAGAAAAAAUCAUUCCAUCUUAUCAGAAUGGAAUGGAAGGACUUUGUUCUAUAAAGCAGCCCUGGUUGAAUCUAGCAAUCCUGUUUGCCAAGAUUCUUAGCAGAAGAUUUAGCAAUGUCCUUCCUCACACUUGUGCAAACUGCCCCUUCUGAAUCUCCAGCCACUGGAGGCAUGGAAGAAGCAGAGUGAGUUGGUAAACAAGGGUGGAGGCAAUCACUCUCUAAAGCAGGACUGACUACAUGGAAGCCAGGCAGCUGCCCCAGACCCGAACGCCUAGCCCCAUUCUUCAUUUCAGUUUUGUAUCAAUAUAUAGAAACACACACAAACACACACAGAGCCCCAGACUUACAAACUGAUGACACUCUAAAUGUUUGUUGGUCACUUAGCUUCAACAUCAGAAUACAUUUCUCCCUACGAAGAGUUAUAAAUGAUGGUUUAGUUCCCAGGCAGCUACAAAUGCCUAUUUAUUCCCUCAAGUACCUGAACACUAGUACCGUAGAACUGAACCACCAUCUGUACACUGCAUGGGGAGCAUGCAUUCUGAGGGCUACCUUGGGGUGCCAGAACACACACAUCCUCUAUCUCACCAGACGUAAUAGGGACUCCCUGGGUAUAGGAGUUCUUUCGUGGCCUCUGCUGGGGCCGGGGAGUCAGCAGCACCUAUCUGUAUAUAUAGGUCAUUCAUACAUCAUGUUUUAAAUUGGGGACUGUAUGUGUGCUUGUGUGUGUGUGCUACCUUUCCACCGUAUGUCAUCAGUUUAAUGGUAACUUUAUUUAUUUAAAAGAAAAGAAACACAAAUAGCUACUAUUAAACUGAUGGAGGUUGUUUAUUUUUACUGUUAGAAUUGGUCAUUCUGUGAAGUGAAAACUGAAUCAUGCAGUAGACAGUGGGCCUAGCUGAUCAGUGGCUACAGUUGAAAGGGGUUGGUUUCCUUAUAUAUGUAUGUAUGUAUGUACGUGUAUGUAUAUACAUACGUACACAUAUAUACACACACAUAGAUAAUGUGCUUAACCACUGCCUUUUAAAAGUUGAAAUAAAACAUUGGGGUUGAUUCAAUUUAGCCAUUUGUGCGUGUUUCUUUGAAGAUACGUGGGCUAAACUACCGCACAGUCGAUGCUUAUUUAAAAUGCUCUCACAUCCUUAGAUCACUUACCAUCAUCAUAACCUUUGUAAGGAUAGGUAAAGUAUGUGGACGUUAGUGAAAAUGCCACUUAUCCAAAAGUUACUUCUCUGGCAAAGCAACAAAAAAAGAAAUUAAGUUUUAAAAGGCCUUUGAUCUGGCAGAAGAAAUGACACAAAAUUUAACAGUUUACUCAUGAGAGAGAUCUUCAAGAAUAUCACUCUUAGCCACUUUGCUAAGAUCUGUGUACAUUUCCAACAUGUUUAGUUAUCCGGCUUCCAAGCCCCCAAGGAGGGAAAAAAAAAGGCAAAGCAGGAGGUGGCUAGAUUGAAGAUAGGCAUACUGGAAGCAGCAAAAAGAAUUAAAAAUGAAAACUAGGUAGCAAGAUGGGAAGAGUAAAAAUAACUGUCCCAGGAAAGCAAGUCUGAGACCGAGGCUGUUUACCAGAGCUACUCUACUUGACCCAGAAAAUAGGUAGACAGCAGUAUGGCCUGUAGACCAGUUCUCAUAAAGGUGACCCUGACUUUCUUUCAAAGAGUAAGUUAAAUCCAGAAUACUUCAUAAAAGGCUGGGAAGAAUAUGAUAUAUUAAUAGGAUUUUCAUCCAAAAUAGUUGAGCGAAAGGUUGUAGAUAACCCAUGCUUUAAACAAUAGCAAAUAAAAUGAAACGGCCAUUCGUAAUAUUAGACUAAAUGAAAAGCUUAGAAAAAAGAAUUUAAGUAUUUUUGUUAUUUUGUUCUACAAAUGCAUUUUUAAAGUAUUUUUAUAAUUUCUACAAUCAAAUAGCUUUGGCAUGAGUGUCAGCUUGCCUAAAUGAAGACACGUUUAAUGAAAUACCAUUUUACUGCCUUUCUGCAGAGUGUUUGGACAGUCCUGUGUAAGUAGCUGUACUUCUGCUUUCAGUGAAUUGUUUCAUUUUGUGUUUCUCUGUGCUAGGCAGUGAGCUUUGUUUUUGAGGAGAGAAUAU
Tupaia belangeri chinensis (Chinese tree shrew) is the source of this 4315-nucleotide RNA transcript. It is a transcript of the gene named RIC8 guanine nucleotide exchange factor B, with no coding region annotated. The transcript is spliced from 12 exons. The record is from RefSeq and is a predicted model, not a curated record. NCBI's taxonomy places the organism in Eukaryota, Metazoa, Chordata, Mammalia, Scandentia, Tupaiidae.